UACAGAGGUCUCGAGCGUUAAUCGGAGUCACUGGGCUUAAAGGGUGCGUAGGCGGUCCCGUAAGUGCUUUGUGAAAUCCCACGGCUUAACCGUGGAAUUGCUUGGCAUACUGCGGGACUUGAGGUCGGUAGAGGUCGCUGGAACUCUAGGUGGAGCGGUGAAAUGCGUAGAUAUCUAGAGGAACGCCGAAGGUGAAGACAGGCGACUGGGCCGAUUCUGACGCUGAGGCACGAAAGCGUGGGGAG
Molecule: ribosomal RNA, 245 nt
Filed under: uncultured bacterium
Lineage: Bacteria
Description: partial 16S ribosomal RNA
Rfam family: Bacterial small subunit ribosomal RNA
Source: RNAcentral